Molecule: ribosomal RNA, 887 nt
Filed under: uncultured bacterium
Lineage: Bacteria
Description: bacterial SSU rRNA
Rfam family: Bacterial small subunit ribosomal RNA
Source: RNAcentral
AGAGUUUGAUCAUGGCUCAGGACAAACGCUGGCGGCGUGCCUAAAACAUACAAGUCGAACGGAAGCUUCUUCGGAGGCUUCAGUGGCAAACGGCUGAGUAACACGUGAGCAACCUGCCCGGACGUGGGGGAUAACUCCGAGAAAUCGGGGCUAAUACCGCAUGUGGUGCGAUGCUGCGAUGCAUCGCAAGAACGCAGCAAUGCGCGUUCGGAGGGGCUUGCGGCCCAUCAGCUAGUUGGUGGGGUAACGGCCUACCAAGGCGAUGACGGGUAGCUGGUCUGAGAGGAUGAUCAGCCAGACUGGGACUGAGACACGGCCCAGACUCCUACGGGAGGCAGCAGUUAGGAAUCUUGCACAAUGGGCGAAAGCCUGAUGCAGCAACGCCGCGUGGAGGACGACGGCCUUCGGGUUGUAAACUCCUUUUGUUGGGGAAGAGAACGGACGGUACCCAGCGAAGAAGCCCCGGCUAACUACGUGCCAGCAGCCGCGGUAAUACGUAGGGGGCGAGCGUUGUCCGGAUUUACUGGGCGUAAAGAGCGCGUAGGUGGUCGUGCGCGUCGGUUGUGAAAGUCUGGGGCUUAACCCCAGAAGGUCAGUCGAUACGGUGCGACUUGAGGGCGGCAGAGGAAGGUGGAAUUCCGGGUGUAGUGGUGAAAUGCGUAGAGAUCCGGAGGAACACCAGUGGCGAAGGCGGCCUUCUGGGCCGUUCCUGACACUGAGGCGCGAAAGCGUGGGGAGCGAACUGAAUUAGAUACUCAGGUAGUCCACGCCCUAAACGGUGGACACUAGGUGUGGGGGGUAUCGACCCCUCCCGUGCCGAAGCUAACGCAUUAAGUGUCCCGCCUGGGGAGUACGGCCGCAAGGCUAAAACUCAAAGGAAUUGACGG